CCCGACUGAAUUAGGGUUAAGGUGAACUCGUCAAACCCAACAUCAGUCAUAUGAAUCAAUCGAUCGAUCCAAAUCCGAUGUGAAACCUUAAUGAAAAACUUUUUUCUAUUAUUUCACUCUGCCAUGGUUAUGGGCUUAAGAACUCAAUCUUUCGAUCAUCAUAGGACUACUUUUUUCAUCUAUCAAGGUUGAUCGAUCCCAUCUUGGUGUAAUCUGAUUCCUACAAUGAAUAUGCUACAACCAACAUACACCUCAGGAUUCUGAAUGGCUAGGAGAUCGAGUUAUGGUGUAGUCAAACUAUAACACACUCAAG
This 313-nucleotide long non-coding RNA is filed under the name Elaeis guineensis (African oil palm). RNAcentral's name for it is "long non-coding RNA (EGUI_LNC059961)". The record is from RNAcentral. Lineage: Eukaryota; Viridiplantae; Streptophyta; Magnoliopsida; Arecales; Arecaceae.